This 406-nucleotide ribosomal RNA is filed under the name uncultured bacterium. Its description in RNAcentral is "partial 16S ribosomal RNA". It matches the Rfam family "Bacterial small subunit ribosomal RNA", at positions 29 to 526 of the family's 1533-position model. The record is from RNAcentral.
AUUGAACGCUGGCGGCAGGCCUAACACAUGCAAGUCGAACGAGUGGCGGACGGGUGAGUAAUGUCUGGGAAACUGCCUGAUGGAGGGGGAUAACUACUGGACACUGUAGCUAAUACCGCAUACCAUCAGAUGUGCCCAGAUGGGUAUAGCUAGUUGGUGGGGUAACGGCGCACCAAGGCGAAGAUCCCUAGCUGGUCUGAGAGGAUGACCAGCCACACUGGAGCUGAGACACGGUCCAGACUCCUACGGGAGGCAGCAGUGGGGAAUAUUGGACAAUGGGCGCAAGCCUGAUGCAGCCAAGCCGCGUGGAAGAAGAAGGGCUUCGGGGUGUAAAGUACUUUCAGGGGGGAGGCGUUACCCGCAGAAGAAGCACCGGCUAACUCCGUGCCAGCAGCCGCGGUAAUAC